UAGUUAUUGUAAAUCAAGAUUUGGUUCUUCUUCUCUCUUUAUAUAUUCAAACACACAUCUGUUGUUUCAUAUUCUUGUUGGUUGCACAGAGUUCUGGGUUAGAGGAGAGACUAGGAGAGACCAUUAGCAUACAUGACUGAAGAGAGGAAAAAAAUGGGGAGAGGGAAGAUUGAGAUAAAGAGGAUAGAAAACUUGAAUAGCAGGCAGGUCACCUUCUCCAAACGCAGGAAUGGGUUGCUGAAGAAAGCUAGAGAAUUAUCAGUUUUGUGUGAUGCUGAGGUUGCUGUCAUAGUCUUCUCUAGCACAGGAAAGCUUUAUGAAUUUUCAAGCACAAGCAUGGAACACACACUUUCAAGAUAUGGCAGUGGCCUGGAUUUGGAUUAUAAUGACCAUCCUUCUGAUGACCAUGGGGCAGAGCAUUCAAAUAGUGCAGAGGUUAAUGCAGUGAAAGAUGAACUCUCAAAGUUACGGUUGACAUGCUUGCAGAUGAUGGGUCAACAACUUGAUGGCUUGAGUUUCAAGGAGCUGCAACACCUAGAACAUCAAUUAAGUGCAGGCAUUCUGUCUGUUAAGGACAAGAAGGAACAAAUGCUGAUGGAUCAGCUUAAGAAAUCCAAAAUGCAGGAGCAAAAGGCCACUCUAGAGAACGAAUCUCUGCGUAAACAGAUUGAGGAACUCAAACGAGGAUCCCGGCCAAAGUCUGCUUUCCUGGAAUUAAGUCCUUUGGACAGGAGAUUUGCCGUAGCAAGUUCGAAACCUGAUAGUAAUCGCAAACCACAGGAAGAAGAAGAUCUUUCCGACACUUCAUUGCACUUGGGUUGCAGAAAAACAGAAGACACGAAAACUUAGCUAUUUUGAGAUUCAGCUAAAUGUAGAAUGACAGAGAUUCUAGGUUUAAGAGGCAAUUAACAAGCUGCAAGAUGCACAUAUAAAAUUUUAUACUUGGUUGUCAUCUGAUGUUUGUCACAAGAGGAAAGCUGACAAGAUUGAAUCUGUCUCCAAUGAUUCAGGAAGUCAGGUGGCUUCAGGGUGAUGAAGCAUGACAUAGAUCCUCUUAUAAUAGGAGGGUUUGUACUAGAUUAGUUGAUGAAAUUUUUGAGUAAAUUUUCAGUCACAGACAGAUGUUUUUGGUAUAUCAGUAGUUUUAACUGAUUUUCAGAGAUAACAGCCAAUGUCUGGCACAGUUUAUAAAUUGCUAUAUGAAUAAUGCUAAUCUUUUCCGAAUUCA
Populus trichocarpa (black cottonwood) is the source of this 1228-nucleotide RNA transcript. It is a transcript of the gene named agamous-like MADS-box protein AGL18, with no coding region annotated. The record is from RefSeq and is a predicted model, not a curated record. The transcript has 9 exons. Lineage: Eukaryota; Viridiplantae; Streptophyta; Magnoliopsida; Malpighiales; Salicaceae.